UUAAUCCGCCGGUUUUUUUUCUCUGACGGUUCCCCUCCCCCGUUCCACCGUUUUUUCUCAUCGUGGGCAACGUUCAGUAGCUGCUGAAAACAUCGUGGCGACUGACGAGGAUUCGGUUCGCCCCCUGGACACGGCGCUCCCCCUGCCUCCCCGGCGAGGUGCUCCUGCUCUCCCCCUCGCGCCGCCGGCUCCCGUGCCGCUCCAGCAAGCAGCUGCCUGCUGCACAUGUCCGCGUUGGGCGCCGUUUCAGAGGUACCCUUGGCGCCGCCUGGUUCCCCGCCGAGCCCCUGCGCCGCCGGCGACCUUCCUGUCCCUCCCGUCGAUGUGUCGCUGUUCCGUCCCGUGCCGCCCCGGCGAGCUGGAGACGGUCGCGCCGGGCGCCGACGCCACCCUCCUGCCAUCCCAGUGAGUCUCCCGCUGCCGCGCCGCGUCCUCGAGGUACAAGCCUCCGGCCAUCUCGGUAGCUGUGGAUGAGGUCUCGAAAUUCUUCUGAUGCAAUGGAUCUUCCUGCGAUUUUUGUGCAGUGUUUUAACCCUAUUCCCAAUUCUAAUUUAUAUGCUCCUGCGUGCAGAUCUAAUCAUUGUUUGGCUAUCAAAUCUUUUGUUUAGCAAUGGUUUUUCUUCUUUAUGUUCUUGAGCUUCCCAAUAGAUUGUUUUGUUGAUUGGAUGGCCUUGCUGUGAUGCCUGGAGAGGCUUGCGGCCAGCACGAUGGUGGGAAGCCGCUGAUGAGAUAGAUACUUGCAGAACUGCUGGCGCGGAUGUGGUACAUGCCAGGGAGUUUAUGCACCUGCAGACGGGUUAAUAUAUCAUACAAAUCAGAGGACCAAGAUUUCGUCUGGUGGCUGGACGCCGAGUCAUGUCCAGUGUUACGGCGAACUAAACCAUACAAGGGAGGUCUCUUCACCUAUUUCGUCUGGAUGUUGUCAUCCUUUUGGUACAAUGGAUGGCACCCAGGAUGGCCAAGCAACUUCGAGCAUUUGCUUACAUUACAAGUUCAGCAGGCUGGGACUAGUUAAUUUUCUUUGUUGCUUACUAUUGGGGUUUAUUUGGUUAGAUCAUGGAUGAGAACCAACAAUGGAUCAGUGCAUUAAGCAACACUAAGGAGUUUCUUAAGCUUUCACAUGCUACUUAUUAUCUGAAUACUAGUCUAAAAGAAAAGAAAAUAUCUUUCUUAUGCGUUCUCAUUCUAUUUCUGUAAUUCCAUUAUUACAUAUCAUUCAGAGAAGCAGACCUAAGCUCGAUCUAUUCAAAUGAUGCAUGCUGUUUCUUUCCAGUAUACUGAUAUAUCGAUUCUUCCUAUAGCCAUGCAAUUAAUUAUACAUAAAUGAAAGCAUGCCCUUUAUCUGCUGACUAGCUUUAGAAACAUUGAAGAUUUCUAUUAUUCCUUUUUGACAAGGUUGUAUGCAGUUUUGAGCUCUUCUAUAAAAUAUUAACAUUGGAGAUUAUUUUCUGAACUUUUCAUUGCUGCUUUUUUUUCUAGCAAUGGCAGAAGCAGAGCAGAGGUGAGUGUAUCACAUCAUUUGCUUAAUUGAUUGUAUCACUCGGCAACUUUAAUUAUAAGUAAUCAAGAUUUUUAUAUGAUUUUAUAUUUUUACUUUUAUCAGAAUACUAACUCGGUGCUAGCUUGCAUAGAAUUGAAGUUUUUCCUGAUCGCACAUGCUACUUUGGUUAUAAAACCUAGAGUGUUUAUUACAAAAAUAAUUAAACUGUAAAUUGCAUAGGGUUCAAUUUUUUUUGCUCACACAUGCCACUAUUUACUAACUGGCUGUUGGUUUAGUCAUACCAGUUAGGGUGUGUUUUUGAAAACAGGCUUUAACAUUGUAUGUAGAAGUAAAUUCUACAUUCCACGCACCAUGAAUUCUCUGUCCACGGUAUGGUCCACCAGUAGAGUUUAGAAAAGAUUUCUGGCAUCUAUACAACAACAACAACAACAUUUCUGGCAUCUAUAAUGUUGAGAAUUAGUUUCCUCAUUCCAAUAAGCUGAAAUUCUUAUGUUCUUAUACUCUGUUUAGUUUGGUUCCAACAUGAUGGAUGCAAUGCAGAAAGUACUUUUUUGUGCGAGUUUAAGAUUUAUACUGUUAUAUGCCUUGCUUCCAUCCUCACGAAUGUAAUUACUAAUGUAGGCACAGUAUUCAGCAACUCUAUGCCUUUGCUAAAUAAUACUAUAUGAUGACAUUACAAACUAA
This is a long non-coding RNA of Panicum virgatum (switchgrass), 2185 nucleotides long. RefSeq lists it as uncharacterized. The record is from RefSeq and is a predicted model, not a curated record. Lineage: Eukaryota; Viridiplantae; Streptophyta; Magnoliopsida; Poales; Poaceae. The transcript has 2 exons.